CGAAAAGAAAGAAACCAGAUUAAAGCUCAUUCUGAUUUAUUUUUUACUCGUGAAAGCGGAGAUAAUCGCUCUGUAGACCGACCAGAGUGCAGGUUUAAACGGAAAAUUUUCUUUUUAUGCGUGAAAAAUAAAUGAGACACAGGCCGUAGGGGUGGGCAACUGACGCACCGAGCAGACCACCGGGUCCCCUUAACGGAUUCCUCGAAUUUGUCGGACCGACCGGAUAGCGAGGCGCACCGGGACGCGAAAAAUUGUCCACCCCUAGUUUAGAGCAAUAAAAUUUGUCAUCUAACAGUGAAUGAACAACUAUUGGAACACCGUGGACCAAUCAUUUUCUCUGGAAUGUCUUUGCGUGUCGAAUUCAGCGCUGAAAUGUAAUGGCAUGUAUUGAAAAUGAUGUCAUAUGUCUGUGCCACAAAUCGUUUUGACCAACGUACUCACAG
This 443-nucleotide long non-coding RNA is filed under the name Neodiprion pinetum (white pine sawfly). Its description in RNAcentral is "uncharacterized LOC124217015". The record is from RNAcentral. Lineage: Eukaryota; Metazoa; Arthropoda; Insecta; Hymenoptera; Diprionidae.